GGGGCUGUAGCUCAGUUGGCUAGAGCACCUGCUUUGCAAGCAGGAAGUCACGGGUUCGAGUCCCGUCAGCUCCACCA
This 77-nucleotide transfer RNA is filed under the name Candidatus Neomicrothrix parvicella. RNAcentral's name for it is "tRNA-Ala". It matches the Rfam family "tRNA". From Rfam's summary of the family: Transfer RNA (tRNA) molecules are approximately 80 nucleotides in length. Their secondary structure includes four short double-helical elements and three loops (D, anti-codon, and T loops). The record is from RNAcentral. RNAcentral also lists the same sequence under 1 other name. Lineage: Bacteria; Bacillati; Actinomycetota; Acidimicrobiia; Acidimicrobiales; Microthrixaceae.